GAGUGCAGUGGCGCAGUCUUGGCCCACUGCAAGCUCUGCCUCCCAGAUUCAUGCCAUUCUCCUGCCUCAGCCUCCUGAGUAGCUGGGACUACAGGUACCCGCCACCACGCCUGGCUAAUUUUUUGUAUGUUUUUAGUAGUGACAGGGUUUCACCAUGUUAGCCAGGAUGGUCUCAAUCUCCUGAUCUCGUGAUCCACCUGCCUUGGCCUCCCAAAGUGCUGGGAUUACAGGCGUGAGCCACCGUGCCCGGCCUAAAUUUUGUUUUUAAGAGAAGUUACUAUUUAUUCCUAAUUAGAUGGAGGGGAAAGUUUUUGAAGAGGAAUCUUUGCUUUUUACAGGUAUAAUACUCUUGAAUUUAGCUAAUAUGUUUGCAUAGAGACCCUCUUCUGCAAGAUUAACUUCCACAAUUCUUCCACUUCUUCUUCGAACCUUCAGCUUCUUCCUAAUUUAACUCAAAACAAUCUUUAAACCCUAGGUAAAGGUUUACAUUUCCAUGUCUUCUUAUAACUUUUCACCAAAAAACCACAUUUUACUGUUCUUACACACCUUGCUUGUAAAUCUAUUUCUAGUAGUUUCAAUUAACUCCUAGCAAUUUUUAACUUUAAGGUAAAACUUGGUAACUUGCUUUAAUUGUGUGCUAAGUGCAGCCAAGGUUUGACUCCAGCAUAAUUAAGGGCAUAGCUAAUUCCAUGUCCUCAGUCCCUACCAGUUGUGAAGCUGACAAGUCAAAUAGUUCUCAAAACCCCAAAAGCAGUUUGUAACCUCAAAACAGUUAGCAAACCUUGCAUCUGACCUGCAUUUUACCAAUAGUCUUUAGGGCUGUUUUUAUUUCUUAAUGAUUAAAGUCACGUGAACUGAAAGGUACCACAGCUUUUAACUUCCCUUUAAAAAAUAUUAGAUCCAAGUGCUUGUCUUUCUUUAGACUAAAUUAGUUAGAACUCUUUUUCCAGGCAUCACACACAGUACAGGCAAAAGAGAACCCAGUCGCUGGGUGGGAACCUUUAAGAGACAGGGCUAAGAAAACAUGGAGGUAUCAAAUCUGAGAGGGCUGUUCCCCUCAGGCAGGGUUGCUAAACAAAGCCUUGCCAAGCAAUUACCAGCCAUGCCCCCAGGGUGUAAAGCAAGAUGGAAGCUUGCAACAUAAACCAUGCAGACAAGCAAAGCACACCAGAUUGACCACAGCCCAAGACUAGCCCCACAAAUCCUUUUUCACAAUUAAAACUUUACAGAAAAUACAAACAGUUGUAGUUGCAGGGAGCCUGGACUAGUAAAGUGUCUUCUAAAAGAAAAAAAAACUUUAAAGGUUAACUUUUUGACCAGGUAGAUAAGGGGAAAGAAAAAAAAACAGUUUAAAAAUGCCUGGGGAA
RNAcentral lists this long non-coding RNA (1367 nucleotides) under Homo sapiens (human). Its description in RNAcentral is "non-protein coding lnc-MRPS6-4:1". The record is from RNAcentral. Lineage: Eukaryota; Metazoa; Chordata; Mammalia; Primates; Hominidae.